UUCUUAUUUGUUGUGGUGAUAUUUUAUCGUAAUAAUUUUAUAUGUUUCUGUGGUGAUUUAUUUGAUGUAGUAGUAUUUUUAUAAGAUGUUGUAGUGUUGUAUAUGAAGUCGUAUUUUUAUAUGGUGUAGUAAAAUCUUGUGUUUGAGAAAUUGAUGUUUAUCAUUGAGAUUUUGAGUGAAAAGUGUUGAGAUUGUGUUUAAAUCGAUGAUUGGUUCUGUGAUACAUAUUAGUGAGGAUGAGUAUUAGUUUGUGAUCGGUGAGUUAAUAUAUAGUAUUGAGACUAUGCAUGAAAGGUGAUGAGCAGGACGUGUUGAACAUUAUGAUAUUAUAUUUUGAUAAUGGUGAGAUAAACUUUAUGAUUGGUGAGCAAUGCAUGAUGUUGAGAAUGAGUAUUGAUGUGUGAUUUGGACAUGAAACUAUGUUAUUUCCUUGUACUGUCGUCGGUCAUGUUUGAGUUUUUCGUACUGCGCUACGAUAAGAAUGUGAUGUUGUUGGACUCUCGUUUAAGAGAUAGUGAUUCGAGUGUCACUUCCCUCUGCGCGGGGAGGUGGAUGUCUCGCCCAAAAGACUUCGGCUCGUGCUUAGUAUAGUGCACUGGUGCGCGUAGUGCCAGUGUUUUUACUUGUUAGUCCUUGAGAAGUNGGGGAGAUAGGUCGGAAGUUGCGAUGGAAGACGGCUCGAAUUGCCCUGUUGANNAACAGGUACCUGUUAGUGAUAACAGGUCAUGACGACACAGUAAAAGGAAACGACAUUGGGUCAUGAAUGGAUUGGUUAUGAUAUUGAUGUUGUGAUGAAAUAUGUUAUAUGUUUAUAUUACUCUAUGAUUAAAAUGAAAUAUGCUUUAUUGUGUGUUAUGAUAUUUCUGGUAGCUCACCCUAAAAGUUGUGGUUGUGGUUUCCACCUACGAUGAUCGUACUUGUAUGGGAGUAGAUGGCAUUGCAGAUAAAACUGGACAUAAGUAGC
RNAcentral lists this long non-coding RNA (964 nucleotides) under Vigna radiata. RNAcentral describes it as "long non-coding RNA (VRAD_LNC018158)". The record is from RNAcentral. Lineage: Eukaryota; Viridiplantae; Streptophyta; Magnoliopsida; Fabales; Fabaceae.